GUGAGGAAACUAAGAUAGAUAAAGACCAGGUGAACUGUCCAAAUGACACAGCUACCCUGGGGCUGGCAAACUCCAAACGCUUUUAACCUUGGUCCUACAGAGGAGUGGUGCAGCAGAUCCAGAGGCACCUUCAGCUGUGUAGCAGAAGUGGAGAUGUUUUUAACAUGCCAGAGCUAUGCCUUUUGCCAGACCCACCCAGCAUCCACCCAGAGCACAGAGCAAGAUCAGCCACCAGAGCGGGGAUCCUGAGGAUGCCACAAUUCCAGUUACUCACUGGGUUCAUGCAGAUGCUGCUCCUGAAAAAUCACAGCUACUCCAGAACACAGAGCUUCCUGAGUCCACCCCAAACAUUUCCCCAAGUACUCUGCAACCAGCAGAAGAGCAGCUCUCUGGUCUGAGUGCCUUAUGAUUUAUGAAUAACUCUGGUUUCCAUUAAGCUGCAGAAAGGGGAUAGUGUGUUUCACCCUGUGCUGAGAACCCCAUUUGUUUCCGUUCCUGUCAGCAGUUUGCAUAAGUGAAUGAUUUUAUUUCAUGUGAGAGAGAAGGCAAACACACAAGUUAUCCCAGCAGUGGAAGAUUUGUCAAAUAAAGCUUUUAAUAAUGGUGUUAUUUGACA
This 616-nucleotide long non-coding RNA is filed under the name Cyanistes caeruleus (blue tit). Its description in RNAcentral is "lncRNA (ENSCCEG00000008480.1)". Lineage: Eukaryota; Metazoa; Chordata; Aves; Passeriformes; Paridae. The record is from RNAcentral.